This 628-nucleotide ribosomal RNA is filed under the name Wilsonomyces carpophilus. RNAcentral's name for it is "partial large subunit ribosomal RNA". It matches the Rfam family "Eukaryotic large subunit ribosomal RNA", at positions 33 to 674 of the family's 3401-position model. The record is from RNAcentral. Lineage: Eukaryota; Fungi; Ascomycota; Dothideomycetes.
UUUUGGCAUAUCAUUAAGCGGAGGAAAAGAAACCAACAGGGAUUGCCCUAGUAACGGCGAGUGAAGCGGCAACAGCUCAAAUUUGAAAUCUGGCCUCUUUUGGGGUCCGAGUUGUAAUUUGCAGAGGGCGCUUUGGAGUCGGCAGCGGUCCAAGUUCCUUGGAACAGGACGUCACAGAGGGUGAGAAUCCCGUACGUGGUCGCUAGCCUUCUCCGUGUAAAGCCCCUUCGACGAGUCGAGUUGUUUGGGAAUGCAGCUCUAAAUGGGAGGUAAAUUUCUUCUAAAGCUAAAUAUUGGCCAGAGACCGAUAGCGCACAAGUAGAGUGAUCGAAAGAUGAAAAGCACUUUGGAAAGAGAGUCAAAAAGCACGUGAAAUUGUUGAAAGGGAAGCGCUUGCAGCCAGACUUGCCUGUAGUUGCUCAUCCGGGCUUUUGCCCGGUGCACUCUUCUAUAGGCAGGCCAGCAUCAGUUUGGGCGGUUGGAUAAAGGUCUCUGUCAUGUACCUCUCUUCGGGGAGAAACUUAUAGGGGAGACGCCAUGCAACCAGCUCAGACUGAGGUCCGCGCAUUCGCUAGGAUGCUGGCGUAAUGGCUGUAAGCGGCCCGUCUUGAAACACGGACCCAAAAAA